This 714-nucleotide ribosomal RNA is filed under the name uncultured bacterium. RNAcentral describes it as "bacterial SSU rRNA". It matches the Rfam family "Bacterial small subunit ribosomal RNA", at positions 72 to 817 of the family's 1533-position model. The record is from RNAcentral.
AGUGGUAGCAAUACCAUGAGUAAAGUGGCGCACGGGUGAGUAACACGUGACUAACCUACCCUGGAGUGGGGGAUAACUGAGGGAAACCUUAGCUAAUACCGCAUAAUACCUACGGGUCAAAGGAGCAAUUCGCUCUGGGAGGGGGUCGCGGCCGAUUAGUUAGUUGGCGGGGUAAUGGCCUACCAAGGCUGCGAUCGGUAGCCGGCCUGAGAGGGCACACGGCCACACUGGCACUGAAACACGGGCCAGACUCCUACGGGAGGCAGCAGUGGGGAAUCUUGCACAAUGGGGGCAACCCUGAUGCAGCGACGCCGCGUGAGCGAUGAAGCCCUUCGGGGUGUAAAGCUCUUUCGGCAGGGAAGAUAAUGACGGUACCUGCAGAAGCAGCUGCGGCUAACUACGUGCCAGCAGCCGCGGUAAUACGUAGGCAGCAAGCGUUGUUCGGAGUUACUGGGCGUAAAGGGUGUGUAGGCGGCUUUCUAAGUUUGGUGUGAAAUCUCCCGGCUUAACCGGGAGGGUGCGCCGAAGACUGGGGAGCUAGAGUAUGGGAUGGGAAAGUGGAAUUCCUGGUGUAGCGGUGAAAUGCGUAGAUAUCAGGAGGAACACCUGCGGUGUAGACGGCUUUCUGGACCAUUACUGACGCUGAGACACGAAAGCGUGGGUAGCAAACAGGAUUAGAUACCCUGGUAGUCCUAGCCCUAAACGAUGGAUGCU